RNAcentral lists this ribosomal RNA (822 nucleotides) under Myriospora smaragdula. RNAcentral describes it as "SSU rRNA". It matches the Rfam family "Bacterial small subunit ribosomal RNA", at positions 350 to 1231 of the family's 1533-position model. The record is from RNAcentral. Lineage: Eukaryota; Fungi; Ascomycota; Lecanoromycetes; Acarosporales; Acarosporaceae.
AGCAGUGAGGAAUAUUGGUCAAUAGCCUAACGGCUGAACCAGCAAUUUGGGGGAAUGUAUAGCGAAAGCUAGUUGUAUUAACUAUUAGUUAAUGCAAAAUCGAUUAUGUCGAAUAAAGUUCUAGGUAGAAUAAUGAUUAUGACAAUUUUCUACCUAUAUGUCUUGACCAAACCUCGUGCCAGCAGUCGCGGUAAUACGUGGAAGACUAGUGUUAUUCAUCUUUAAUAGGUUUAAAGGGUACCUAGACGGUUUUUCUAGCCCAAAAUAGGGUACAGAUUUACUAGAGUUUUAUGUGAGGAGGGGAGUACUUAUGGAGUUAGAGAUGAAAUUCUGUCAUACUAUAAGGAAACUGGUGGCGGCGUAAGCAACCUUCUAAGUAUAAACUGACGUUGAGGGACGAAGGCUUGGGUAGCAAAUAGGAUUAGAUACCCUAGUAGUCCAAGCAGACAAUCCUGAAUGCCAUAGAUUAGAUUAUUUUUGGUCUAUAAAUGAAAGUGUAAGCAUUCCACCUCAAGAGUAAUGUGGCAACACAGGAACUGAAAUCAUUAGACCGUUUCUGAAACCAGUAGUGAAGUAUGUUAUUUAAUUCGAUGAUCCGCGAAAAACCUCACCACAAUUUGAAUAUUAUUAAAAUAAUACAAGCGUUGCACGGCUGUCUUCAGUUAAUGUCGUGAGAUUUUGGUUAAUUCCAUUAAAUUAACGUAAACCCUUACUUUAUUUAUUUUUUUUUAUAAAGUAGUUCGCCACUAUAUUGGAUAUGAUAACAGGGACUAAGACAAGUCAUCAUGACCUAAAUAUUGUGGGCUAUAGACGUGCCACAUA